Molecule: ribosomal RNA, 433 nt
Filed under: uncultured bacterium
Lineage: Bacteria
Description: partial 16S ribosomal RNA
Rfam family: Bacterial small subunit ribosomal RNA
Source: RNAcentral
AACGAACGCUGGCGGCAUGCCUAACACAUGCAAGUCGAACGAGACCUUCGGGUCUAGUGGCGCACGGGUGCGUAACGCGGGGGAACCUGCCCUUAGGUUCGGAAUAACUCCCCGAAAGGGGUGCUAAUACCGGAUAAUGUCUUCGGACCAAAGAUUUAUCGCCUUUGGAUGGGCCCGCGUUGGAUUAGCUGGUUGGUAGGGUAAAAGCCUACCAAGGCGACGAUCGAUAGCUGGUCUGAGAGGAUGAUCAGACACACUGGGACUGAGACACGGCCCAGACUCCUACGGGAGGCAGCAGUGGGGAAUAUUGGACAAUGGGCGAAAGCCUGAUCCAGCAAUGCCGCGUGAGUGAUGAAGGCCUGAGGGUUGUAAAGCUCGUUUACCCGGGAGGAUAAUGACAGUACCGGGAGAAUAAGCUCCGGCUAACUCCGUG